CCUACGGGGGGCUGCAGUGGGGAAUAUUGGACAAUGGGGGGAACCCUGAUCCAGCCAUGCCGCGUGUGUGAAGAAGGCCCUCGGGUUGUAAAGCACUUUCAGGGAGGAAGAACGCCUGGUGGUUAAUACCCAUCAGGAAAGACAUCACUCACAGAAGAAGCACCGGCUAACUCCGUGCCAGCAGCCGCGGUAAUACGGAGGGUGCGAGCGUUAAUCGGAAUUACUGGGCGUAAAGCGCGCGUAGGUGGCUUGAUAAGCCGGUUGUGAAAGCCCCGGGCUCAACCUGGGAACGGCAUCCGGAACUGUCAAGCUUGAGUGCAGGAGAGGAAGGUAGAAUUCCCGGUGUAGAGGUGAAAUGCGUAGAGAUCGGGAGGAAUACCAGUGGCGAAGGCGGCUUUCUGGUCUGACACUGACACUGAGGUGCGAAAGCGUGGGUAGCAAACAGGAUUAGAUACCCCUGUAGUC
Molecule: ribosomal RNA, 465 nt
Filed under: Vreelandella stevensii
Lineage: Bacteria; Pseudomonadati; Pseudomonadota; Gammaproteobacteria; Oceanospirillales; Halomonadaceae
Description: partial 16S ribosomal RNA
Rfam family: Bacterial small subunit ribosomal RNA
Source: RNAcentral